UGAUGCAGCCAUGCCGCGUGUGUGAAGAAGGCCUUCGGGUUGUAAAGCACUUUCAGUCGUGAGGAAGGGGUAGUAAUUAAUACUUACUAUCUUUGACGUUAGCGACAGAAGAAGGACCGGCUAACUCCGUGCCAGCAGCCGCGGUAAUACGGAGGGUCCGAGCGUUAAUCGGAAUUACUGGGCGUAAAGCGUACGCAGGCGGCUUGUUAAGCCAGAUGUGAAAUCCCCGGGCUCAACCUGGGAAUGGCAUUUGGAACUGGCAAGCUAGAGUUUUGUAGAGGGUGGUAGAAUUUCAGGUGUAGCGGUGAAAUGCGUAGAGAUCUGAAGGAAUACCAGUGGCGAAGGCGGCCACCUGGACAAAAACUGACGCUCAUGUACGAAAGCGUGGGGAGCAAACAGGAUUAGAUACCCUGGUAGUCCACGCCGUAAACGAUGUCUACUAGUUGUCUGUGAGUUUAACUCGUGGGUAACGCAGCUAACGCAUUAAGUAGACCGCCUGGGGAGUACGGCCGCAAGGUUAAAACUCAAAUGAAUUGACGGGGGCCCGCACAAGCGGUGGAGCAUGUGGUUUAAUUCGAUGCAACGCGAAGAACCUUACCUGCCCUUGACAUACUGAGA
This 618-nucleotide ribosomal RNA is filed under the name Agarivorans sp. RNAcentral's name for it is "bacterial SSU rRNA". It matches the Rfam family "Bacterial small subunit ribosomal RNA", at positions 384 to 994 of the family's 1533-position model. The record is from RNAcentral. Lineage: Bacteria; Pseudomonadati; Pseudomonadota; Gammaproteobacteria; Alteromonadales; Alteromonadaceae.